This 441-nucleotide ribosomal RNA is filed under the name uncultured bacterium. RNAcentral's name for it is "partial 16S ribosomal RNA". It matches the Rfam family "Bacterial small subunit ribosomal RNA", at positions 338 to 795 of the family's 1533-position model. The record is from RNAcentral.
CCUACGGGAGGCAGCAGUGGGGAAUAUUGCACAAUGGGGGAAACCCUGAUGCAGCAACGCCGCGUGGGUGAAGGAGGGUUUCGGCGCGUAAAGCCCUGUCAGCGGGGAAGAAGAAAGACGGGACCCGACGAAGAAGCACAGGCUAACGACUUGCCCGCAGCCGCGGGAAUACGUAGGGGGCGCGCGUUAUCCGGAAUUACUGGGUGUAAAGGGAGCGUAGACGGCGAGGUAAGCCUGAAGUGGAAGCCCGCGGCCCAACCGCGGAACUGCUUUGGGAACUUUUUUGCUGGAGUAUGGGAGGGGUAAGCGGAAUUCCUGGUGUAGCGGUGAAAUGCGUAGAUAUCAGGAGGAACACCGGUGGCGAAGGCGGCUUACUGGACCCUCCCUGACGUUGAGGCUCGAACGCGUGGGGAGCGAACAGGAUUAGAUACCCCUGUAGUC